Cyprinus carpio carpio is the source of this 308-nucleotide long non-coding RNA. Lineage: Eukaryota; Metazoa; Chordata; Actinopteri; Cypriniformes; Cyprinidae. The record is from Ensembl.
CCUAUAUGGGGAGGCUGCAGACCUGGAGCCGGUAGAUAUAGGCCCCAAGCAGUUUUACGCCCCAAGCAGUUUUACGCCCCUGUUGUUCCUCAUGCGUCCAGUAGGGGGAGGCUGUAUAUUAGUAUAUGAGCCUAGUCAUCAAAACAGCAGACCAUAUCUGUAUGAUAGCGGCAGACAUUUUUUGAAGCGAUACGAAAUGAGUAUGCCCUUUACACUGUGCUGAACACUCCAUUCAAUUUUACUUCGCUUGACAUGCCUGCAAUCAGGGAGUGGUGGUGUCUACGUCUAAUUGAGCGGUUUGAGACAGA